CCGCGUGAGGGAUGAAGGCCUUCGGGUUGUAAACCUCUUUCAGCAGGGAAGAAGCGCAAGUGACGGUACCUGCAGAAGAAGCGCCGGCUAACUACGUGCCAGCAGCCGCGGUAAUACGUAGGGCGCAAGCGUUGUCCGGAAUUAUUGGGCGUAAAGAGCUCGUAGGCGGUUUGUCGCGUCUGGUGUGAAAACUCGAGGCUCAACCUCGAGCUUGCAUCGGGUACGGGCAGACUAGAGUGCGGUAGGGGAGACUGGAAUUCCUGGUGUAGCGGUGGAAUGCGCAGAUAUCAGGAGGAACACCGAUGGCGAAGGCAGGUCUCUGGGCCGCAACUGACGCUGAGGAGCGAAAGCAUGGGGAGCGAACAGGAUUAGAUACCCUGGUAGUCCAUGCCGUAAACGUUGGGCACUAGGUGUGGGGCUCAUUCCACGAGUUCCGUGCCGCAGCAAACGCAUUAAGUGCCCCGCCUGGGGAGUACGGCCGCAAGGCUAAAACUCAAAGGAAUUGACGGGGGCCCGCACAAGCGGCGGAGCAUGCGGAUUAAUUCGAUGCAACGCGAAGAACCUUACCAAGGCUUGACAUGCACGGGAAGCCACCAGAGAUGGUGGUCUCUUUGGACACUCGUGCACAGGUGGUGCAUGGUUGUCGUCAGCUCGUGUCGUGAGAUGUUGGGUUAAGUCCCGCAACGAGCGCAACCCUCGUCCCAUGUUGCCAGCGGGUUAUGCCGGGGACUCAUGGGAGACUGCCGGGGUCAACUCGGAGGAAGGUGGGGAUGACGUCAAAUCAUCAUGCCCCUUAUGUCUUGGGCUUCACGCAUGCUACAAUGGCCGGUACAAAGGGCUGCGAUACCGUAAGGUGGAGCGAAUCCCAAAAAGCCGGUCUCAGUUCGGAUUGGGGUCUGCAACUCGACCCCAUGAAGUCGGAGUCGCUAGUAAUCGCAGAUCAGCAACGCUGCGGUGAAUACGUUCCCGGGCCUUGUACACACC
Molecule: ribosomal RNA, 984 nt
Filed under: Cellulosimicrobium cellulans
Lineage: Bacteria; Bacillati; Actinomycetota; Actinomycetes; Micrococcales; Promicromonosporaceae
Description: bacterial SSU rRNA
Rfam family: Bacterial small subunit ribosomal RNA
Source: RNAcentral